GGGUUGUGAGGUUAAGCGACCAAGCGUACACGGUGGAUGCCCUGGCAGUCAGAGGCGAUGAAGGACGUGCUAAUCUGCGAAAAGCGCCGGUAAGGUGAUAUGAACCGUUAUAGCCGGCGAUGUCCGAAUGGGGAAACCCAGUGUGACUCGUCACACUAUCAUUAACUGAAUCCAUAGGUUAAUGAGGCGAACCGGGGGAACUGAAACAUCUAAGUACCCCGAGGAAAAGAAAUCAACCGAGAUUCCCCCAGUAGCGGCGAGCGAACGGGGAGGAGCCCAGAGCCUGAAUCAGCAUGUGUGUUAGUGGAAGCGUCUGGAAAGGCGCGCGAUACAGGGUGACAGCCCCGUACACAAAAGCGCAUGUGCUGUGAGCUCGAUGAGUAGGGCGGGACACGUGGUAUCCUGUCUGAAUAUGGGGGGACCAUCCUCCAAGGCUAAAUACUCCUGACUGACCGAUAGUGAACCAGUACCGUGAGGGAAAGGCGAAAAGAACCCCGGCGAGGGGAGUGAAACAGAACCUGAAACCGUGUACGUACAAGCAGUGGGAGCCCCACCACCAAAGCGUUUCGCUUUGCGUGGUGCGCAAAAUGCGUAACGACAGCACGAUGGACGGUUAACGGAGCGUAAGCGAC
This 632-nucleotide ribosomal RNA is filed under the name Salmonella enterica. Its description in RNAcentral is "partial 23S ribosomal RNA". It matches the Rfam family "Bacterial large subunit ribosomal RNA", at positions 1 to 681 of the family's 2925-position model. The record is from RNAcentral. Lineage: Bacteria; Pseudomonadati; Pseudomonadota; Gammaproteobacteria; Enterobacterales; Enterobacteriaceae.